GACGUAGGGGGCGAGCGUUGUCCGGAAUCAUUGGGCGUAAAGAGCGCGUAGGCGGCCCGGAAAGUGGGGUGUGAAAACCCGAGGCUCAACCUCGGGCGUGCACUCCAAACUCCCGGGCUCGAGGCAGGUAGGGGAGAUCGGAAUUCCUGGUGUAGUGGUGAAAUGCGUAGAGAUCCGGAUGAACACCAGUGGCGAAAGCGGCCACCUGGACUGUACCUGACGCUCAAACACGAAAGCUAGGGGAGCGAACGGG
RNAcentral lists this ribosomal RNA (253 nucleotides) under uncultured bacterium. RNAcentral's name for it is "partial 16S ribosomal RNA". It matches the Rfam family "Bacterial small subunit ribosomal RNA", at positions 524 to 776 of the family's 1533-position model. The record is from RNAcentral.